Molecule: long non-coding RNA, 315 nt
Filed under: Mytilus galloprovincialis (Mediterranean mussel)
Lineage: Eukaryota; Metazoa; Mollusca; Bivalvia; Mytilida; Mytilidae
Source: RNAcentral
AACUAAGCUUUAUAAUUACAGCUGUGUCUUAAACAUUGCUAAAUGACCCACAGCAGCAGUGCAGCCUUAUUGUUAAUGGUAGGAAAUGUGGGAUACAUGUUGAUAAGACAGCAACGGUUAGUUGAAAUAUUGUUUUGGUGAAUCAUAUAUAUAUGUUUGGACAAGAACAUCGUGAUCAUGUACAGCAUUUUAUCUGACUUGUGACCUCCAUACAUGUAAUAAUUAAAUGUCAGAAGAUAAAGAUAGAAUUUAGCUCGUAUUGUUCAAUAAUUUUUUUUAAAAAAGCUGACAAGUGACGAAUUUUGUAAAUUUCUG